Molecule: non-coding RNA, 455 nt
Organism: Neopelma chrysocephalum (saffron-crested tyrant-manakin)
Lineage: Eukaryota; Metazoa; Chordata; Aves; Passeriformes; Pipridae
Source: the annotation of a RefSeq genome assembly
GCCGUGACCCUGGUGGAGUCCGGGGGCACCUCAAGGCCCCGGGGGAGUCCCUGCGGCUCCUCUGCCGCGCCUCCGGCUUCACCUUCAGCAGCUACGGAAUGGGCUGGAUGCGCCAGAGCCCCGGGAAGGGGCUGGAAUGGGUCGCUGGGAUCUACAAUGAUGGUGCUCUCACCAACUAUGCGCCGUCGGUGCAGGGCCGGUUCAGCAUCCCCAGGGACAACGGGCAGAGCUCGGUGACGCUGCAGAUGAACAACCUCAGGGACGAGGAUUCCGACACCUAUUUCUGCGCCAGAGAUGGUUAUGAUGGUUGUUGUAAUGCUGCUGAUAUCGACGUCCUUGGCGGGGUCCCCACCUGUCCCCAAACUCCAGACCCUCCUUCCAGACCUCCAUUCUUUGGACCUGAAUCACAACCAUUGACCCAAAACUCAACCAUUGACCCAAAUCUCAACCACUGA